This 429-nucleotide unclassified non-coding RNA is filed under the name Hevea brasiliensis (rubber tree). The record is from RNAcentral. Lineage: Eukaryota; Viridiplantae; Streptophyta; Magnoliopsida; Malpighiales; Euphorbiaceae.
CUAAUCUUGGAGUUAAAGUGCCAGUGAACCCCAUAUUUGACAAUGACACCAUCAAGACAUUGCUGUUAUCGUCACAAGUUAUCUUUGACCAAGUGCAUGGAUUAACUUGAUUCUGAUUCCAAUCAGAAAGUUGAUCAUUCGAAGCAUUUAGUGAACUCUUCAAUGCAAACAGUGCAUCUCCCUGCUGAUCAGGCGAGACAAAUGAGUAGAGACAUGCUAAUAUCAGAAUUGCAAGGAACAGUUCCAUACUGCAGUUACUGUUCAAUUCUAUAGAUCAUGUAAACUUGUUUCCCUUCAUCGCUGUAACAUAAAGCACUAUCUUCCUUGGUAAUGACAAAUGGCGGUUCUUUAAGCAAGCACCAAUCUUUAUAGGCUGUGAAAGAAAGAGCAGAGUUUGAACCAAAGAUUAAAACUUUACUUUGAAUUAAG